This is a long non-coding RNA of Papaver somniferum (opium poppy), 1103 nucleotides long. RefSeq lists it as uncharacterized. The record is from RefSeq and is a predicted model, not a curated record. The transcript is spliced from 6 exons. NCBI's taxonomy places the organism in Eukaryota, Viridiplantae, Streptophyta, Magnoliopsida, Ranunculales, Papaveraceae.
UGCCCACGGGCUCAAAUGUUUAUCCGUGGUUCGGUUUUCAUUUCUUCAUUUCCUAGUCGAACAGAGCUUCCAUCUAGCAUUGUUGCAGGCGAUACUAUUAGCUUCCAAAAUCAAUUGAUUUUUUCAGUGUUUUUCAUUUAAGUGAAGUUCUUAGAAUCUAUUCUAGAUCAAUUAGUUUCACUUUAAUUAUUGAAGGUUGGUUGAUUCGUUCUUCGUGAUUAUAACGAUUUGGAGGGAUAUUUUGUUAAUUUGCAUCGGAUUUUUGCAUCCUAUUUCUUAAAAUGUGACAGAGAUGAUGAACUUCAGUUGCAGUGCGAUCCCUCCAUCAACACCUCACAUGCAUGUCCACAAAGUAGUAUUGUGGUUGAUCUUAGGGUACUGUUUCAGUUCGGAACGGAGGAGAGGGUAACUCGGAUAAAGGUUUUCUUGUUGGUUGAUAUUAUAUGUUGGUGCAUUAUUAAAUUCCAGAAUGUUUGGACAAACUUUAACGAACAUUAAUUCAAUUACAUCACACUUGAAAUGCAAAUAUGAUGCAGAAUAAUGUUGAUUAUGUGGUAUACAUAAAUACAGUUCAAGAGUUUAAUAGGAGUGAUUCUGGAGCUAGUCUCGAUGAGGUUGUAUCAUGGGUAAAAGUAUGAGCAUUUGAUAAGACGGCUAAAGUGCUAACUCUGGUGAAUAAAGGAGGACUUCUAGUAUUUAUACAAUGUCGGUAGAUAUGAAAAAAGAUGUAUAUGUAUAUUGAAGCCUAGAACUCAACAACAAAAGAGGUAGUGAAAAAGGAAACAUGCAAGAAUAGACGUCCAGGUGGUGAAAACACAAUCAACUUUCUGCAGCUCUGAAAAAUUGAAAUUUGAUAAGAAACUCAUGAUGGAGAACGUGUGAAAGAUAGUUACUGAAGCAAAUUGUUACCAAUCAUAUCUUAUCGCCCCUGAACAAGUAUAUCGAUGUCUCAUUGAAUUUUCGUUAAUUGUUAUUAGAGGUCAUGCAAAGGUAGCAGUUGAUGCAGUAUGCAUUACAUUAACUCCCUGCCUAUAUUCCUGUCAAAUAUAGUUGUACACACUAGUGUAAAUUAACAUUUUUAAAAAAUGAGAAUUAUAUAGUCA